GUCCCCGGAGUCAUAAAGAGGAAUCAGACACAGCUUCCCUGCCCUGUGUAUGUGGAGAGGGCGGACGGGAGUGCGUGGAGAGCCUGACAUUCCAGCUGAAGCUGGAAGAAUGAGUAGGCGUUUGCCUUAAGAAGAAAAGGAGAGGACGCUCCAGAUGUUACAAGUCACUCUGCCUCUGCGGGGAGAAGGCAACUUCUUCAUGAACUCGAACAUCCUUUGCAAUUCUCUAUCAGAUACUUGGCAGGGUUUAAAAAACAUGGCACCUCUUAUAACUUUUCAC
RNAcentral lists this long non-coding RNA (280 nucleotides) under Pan troglodytes (chimpanzee). RNAcentral describes it as "long non-coding RNA NONPTRT017243". The record is from RNAcentral. Lineage: Eukaryota; Metazoa; Chordata; Mammalia; Primates; Hominidae.